This 385-nucleotide transfer RNA is filed under the name Hevea brasiliensis (rubber tree). Lineage: Eukaryota; Viridiplantae; Streptophyta; Magnoliopsida; Malpighiales; Euphorbiaceae. The record is from RNAcentral.
UAAUAAUUAAAAUAAUAAUUAAUAUACUAAUUAAUAUACUAAAUUAUACAUAUACUAAUAUAUAAUUUCUAAUUUAUUUCAUUUAGAAUUUUUUUUCUGACUUAUUUACUAUUACUUUAUGACUAUGACUAUAUGACUAUGGGCGAAUGACGGGAAUUGAACCCGCGCAUGGUGGAUUCACAAUCCACUGCCUUGAUCCACUUGGCUACAUCCGCCCCUAAUACUAUACUCUAUUUCAAAAUUAAAUAAAAUAUUAGAAGAUACAAGGAUUUUUAGUUCUAACAUUUAAUAUUAAAUUUUAUCUUUCCUAUAAGAUCUUAUAAGAUACAACUACAAAAAUACAAAAGACAUAAAAAUUAAUAUUAAAUGUUAGAACUAAAAAUCC